This 332-nucleotide ribosomal RNA is filed under the name uncultured eukaryote. RNAcentral describes it as "partial 18S ribosomal RNA". It matches the Rfam family "Eukaryotic small subunit ribosomal RNA", at positions 1470 to 1796 of the family's 1831-position model. The record is from RNAcentral.
CCCUUAGAUGUCCUGGGCUGCACGCGCGCUACACUGGAAGUUACGGAUUGAGAUACUACCUUGUCCGAAAUGGUCCGGGUAAUCACCUAAAAGCUUGUCAUAAUUGGAAUGGAUUAUUGUAACUAGUAAUCCUGAACGAGGAAUUCCUAGUAAGUCCCAGUCAACAGCUGGUAUUGAUUACGUCCCUGCCCUUUGUACACACCGCCCGUCGCUACUACUGAUUGGACGUUUAAGCAAGAUUUUUAAACACUGACAGUGUGUAGUUCACGCUAUACUACAGUGAGAAGAAGAAGAUCGAGCUUACUUGUCUAGAGGAAGUAAAAGUCGUAACA